GGUGGCUGUAGUUCAGUUGGUUAGAGCGUCAGAUUGUGGUUCUGAAUGUCGUGGGUUCGAGUCCCAUCUGCCACCCCCA
This 79-nucleotide transfer RNA is filed under the name Bacteroides thetaiotaomicron. Its description in RNAcentral is "tRNA-His". It matches the Rfam family "tRNA". From Rfam's summary of the family: Transfer RNA (tRNA) molecules are approximately 80 nucleotides in length. Their secondary structure includes four short double-helical elements and three loops (D, anti-codon, and T loops). The record is from RNAcentral. Lineage: Bacteria; Pseudomonadati; Bacteroidota; Bacteroidia; Bacteroidales; Bacteroidaceae. RNAcentral also lists the same sequence under 14 other names.